UGCAAGUCGAGCGAACAGAUGAGAAGCUUGCUUCUCUGAUGUUAGCGGCGGACGGGUGAGUAACACGUGGGUAACCUACCUAUAAGACUGGGAUAACUCCGGGAAACCGGGGCUAAUACCGGAUAAUAUUUUGAACCGCAUGGUUCAAUAGUGAAAGACGGUUUCGGCUGUCACUUAUAGAUGGACCCGCGCCGUAUUAGCUAGUUGGUAAGGUAACGGCUUACCAAGGCGACGAUACGUAGCCGACCUGAGAGGGUGAUCGGCCACACUGGAACUGAGACACGGUCCAGACUCCUACGGGAGGCAGCAGUAGGGAAUCUUCCGCAAUGGGCGAAAGCCUGACGGAGCAACGCCGCGUGAGUGAUGAAGGUCUUCGGAUCGUAAAACUCUGUUGUUAGGGAAGAACAAAUUUGUUAGUAACUGAACAAGUCUUGACGGUACCUAACCAGAAAGCCACGGCUAACUACGUGCCAGCAGCCGCGGUAAUACGUAGGUGGCAAGCGUUAUCCGGAAUUAUUGGGCGUAAAGCGCGCGUAGGCGGUUUCUUAAGUCUGAUGUGAAAGCCCACGGCUCAACCGUGGAGGGUCAUUGGAAACUGGGAAACUUGAGUGCAGAAGAGGAGAGUGGAAUUCCAUGUGUAGCGGUGAAAUGCGCAGAGAUAUGGAGGAACACCAGUGGCGAAGGCGGCUCUCUGGUCUGUAACUGACGCUGAUGUGCGAAAGCGUGGGGAUCAAACAGGAUUAGAUACCCUGGUAGUCCACGCCGUAAACGAUGAGUGCUAAGUGUUAGGGGGUUUCCGCCCCUUAGUGCUGCAGCUAACGCAUUAAGCACUCCGCCUGGGGAGUACGACCGCAAGGUUGAAACUCAAAGGAAUUGACGGGGACCCGCACAAGCGGUGGAGCAUGUGGUUUAAUUCGAAGCAACGCGAAGAACCUUACCAAAUCUUGACAUCCUUUGACCGCUCUAGAGAUAGAGUCUUCCCCUUCGGGGGACAAAGUGACAGGUGGUGCAUGGUUGUCGUCAGCUCGUGUCGUGAGAUGUUGGGUUAAGUCCCGCAACGAGCGCAACCCUUAAGCUUAGUUGCCAUCAUUAAGUUGGGCACUCUAGGUUGACUGCCGGUGACAAACCGGAGGAAGGUGGGGAUGACGUCAAAUCAUCAUGCCCCUUAUGAUUUGGGCUACACACGUGCUACAAUGGAUAAUACAAAGGGCAGCGAAUCCGCGAGGCCAAGCAAAUCCCAUAAAAUUAUUCUCAGUUCGGAUUGUAGUCUGCAACUCGACUACAUGAAGCUGGAAUCGCUAGUAAUCGUAGAUCAGCAUGCUACGGUGAAUACGUUCCCGGGUCUUGUACACACCGCCCGUCACACCACGAGAGUUUGUAACACCCGAAGCCGGUGGAGUAACCUUUUAGGAG
RNAcentral lists this ribosomal RNA (1413 nucleotides) under Staphylococcus sp. B3RO05. Its description in RNAcentral is "16S ribosomal RNA". It matches the Rfam family "Bacterial small subunit ribosomal RNA". Lineage: Bacteria; Bacillati; Bacillota; Bacilli; Caryophanales; Staphylococcaceae. The record is from RNAcentral.